Molecule: ribosomal RNA, 491 nt
Filed under: uncultured bacterium
Lineage: Bacteria
Description: bacterial SSU rRNA
Rfam family: Bacterial small subunit ribosomal RNA
Source: RNAcentral
AUGAACGCUGGCGGCGUGCUUAACACAUGCAAGUCGAACGGAGUUUUUAAACGGAAGUUUUCGGAUGGAAGUUUAAGAACUUAGUGGCGGACGGGUGAGUAACGCGUGGGGUAACCUGCCUCAUACAGGGGGAUAACAGUUAGAAAUGACUGCUAACACCGCAUAAUAUAGUGAAACCGCAUGAUUUUUGCUAUCAAAUAUUUAUAGGUAUGAGAUGGGCCCGCGUCUGAUUAGCUAGUUGGUGGGGUAAAAGCCUACCAAGGCGACGAUCAGUAGCCGGCUUGAGAGAGUGACCGGCCACAUUGGGACUGAGACACGGCCCAAACUCCUACGGGAGGCAGCAGUGGGGAAUAUUGGACAAUGGGGGAAACCCUGAUCCAGCCGACGCCGCGUGAGUGAAGAAGUAUUUCGGUAUGUAAAGCUCUAUCAGCAGGGAAGAUAAUGACAGUACCUGACUAAGAAGCCCCGGCUAACUACGUGCCAGCCGCCGC